UGGCUCAGGACGAACGCUGGCGGCGUGCCUAAUACAUGCAAGUCGAACGGCUUUUCUAUGGAAGCUUGCUUCCACUGAGAAGAUAGUGCGAACGGGUGAGUAACACGUGGGUAACCUGCCCAUAAGAGGGGGAUAACAUCCGGAAACGGGUGCUAAUACCGCAUAGUUUUCUUGAUCGCAUGAUCGGGAAAGGAAAGACGGCCUUUGUGCUGUCGCUUAUGGAUGGACCCGCGGCGUAUUAGUUAGUUGGUGAGGUAACGGCUCACCAAGACGAUGAUACGUAGCCGACCUGAGAGGGUGAUCGGCCACAUUGGGACUGAGACACGGCCCAAACUCCUACGGGAGGCAGCAGUAGGGAAUCUUCCGCAAUGGACGAAAGUCUGACGGAGCAACGCCGCGUGAGUGAAGAAGGGUUUCCUCGGAUCGUAAAACUCUGUUGUCAGAGAAGAACAAGUUGGAGAGUAACUGCUCCAGCCUUGACGGUAUCUGACCAGAAAGCCACGGCUAACUACGUGCCAGCAGCCGC
This 526-nucleotide ribosomal RNA is filed under the name uncultured bacterium. Its description in RNAcentral is "bacterial SSU rRNA". It matches the Rfam family "Bacterial small subunit ribosomal RNA", at positions 20 to 518 of the family's 1533-position model. The record is from RNAcentral.